GGUUAAGCGAAUAAGCGUACACGGUGGAUGCCUAGGCAAUCAGAGGCGAUGAAGGACGUGCUAAUCUGCGAAAAGCGUCGGUAAGGUGAUAUGAACCGUUAUACCCGACGAUAUCCGAAUGGGGAAACCCAGUAUCCAAUGGAUACUAUCAUUAACUGAAUCCAUAGGUUAAUGAGGCGAACCGGGAGAACUGAAACAUCUCAGUACCCCGAGGAAAAGAAAUCAACCGAGAUUCCCCUAGUAGCGGCGAGCGAACGGGGAGCAGCCCAGAGUCUUAAUCAAUAGCAGUGUCAGGAGAACGGUCUGGAAAGUCCGGCAGUAAAGGGUGAUAGCCCCGUAUCUGAAGAUGCUGUUAUUGUGAACUCGACGAGUAGGGCGGGACACGUGUUAUCCUGUCUGAAUAUGGGGGGACCAUCCUCCAAGGCUAAAUACUCCUGAUUGACCGAUAGUGAACCAGUACCGUGAGGGAAAGGCGAAAAGAACCCCGGCGAGGGGAGUGAAAAAGAACCUGAAACCGUGUACGUACAAGCAGUAGGAGCCUCUUUAUGGGGUGACUGCGUACCUUUUGUAUAAUGGGUCAGCGACUUAUAUUCUGUAGCAAGGUUAACCGCAUAGGGGAGCCGUAGGGAAACCGAGUCUUAACUGGGCGAAUGAGUUGCAGGGUAUAGACCCGAAACCCGGUGAUCUAUCCAUGGGCAGGUUGAAGGUUGGGUAACACUAACUGGAGGACCGAACCGACUAAUGUUGAAAAAUUAGCGGAUGACUUGUGGAUGGGGGUGAAAGGCCAAUCAAACCGGGAGAUAGCUGGUUCUCCCCGAAAGCUAUUUAGGUAGCGCCUCGUGAACUCAUCUUCGGGGGUAGAGCACUGUUUCGACUAGGGGGUCAUCCCGACUUACCAACUCGAUGCAAACUGCGAAUACCGAAGAAUGUUAUCACGGGAGACACACGGCGGGUGCUAACGUCCGUCGUGAAGAGGGAAACAACCCAGACCGCCAGCUAAGGUCCCAAAGUCAUGGUUAAGUGGGAAACGAAGUGGGAAGGCUCAGACAGCCAGGAUGUUGGCUUAGAAGCAGCCAUCAUUUAAAGAAAGCGUAAUAGCUCACUGGUCGAGUCGGCCCGCGCGGAAGAUGUAACGGGGCUAAACCAUGCACCGAAGCUGCGGCAGCGACACAUAGUGUUGUUGGGUAGGGGAGCGUUCUGUAAGCCUGCGAAGGUGUACUGUGAGGUAUGCUGGAGGUAUCAGAAGUGCGAAUGCUGACAUAAGUAACGAUAAUGCGGGUGAAAAACCCGCACGCCGGAAGACCAAGGGUUCCUGUCCAACGUUAAUCGGGGCAGGGUGAGUCGACCCCUAAGGCGAGGCUGAAAAGCGUAGUCGAUGGGAAACGGGUUAAUAUUCCCGUACUGGUGGUAACUGCGAUGGGGGAACGGAGAAGGCUAGGUUGUCCGGGCGACGGUCGUCCCGGUUCAAGCAGGUAGGCAGAGUGAUUAGGCAAAUCCGGUCACUUAAUGCUGAGAUGUGAUGACGAACCACUAAGGUGGUGAAGCAAUUGAUGCCCCGCUUCCAGGAAAAGCCUCUAAGCUUCAGGUUACCAACAAUCGUACCCCAAACCGACACAGGUGGUCAGGUAGAGAAUACUCAGGCGCUUGAGAGAACUCGGGUGAAGGAACUAGGCAAAAUGGUGCCGUAACUUCGGGAGAAGGCACGCUGGCGGUAGGUAAAGUCCCUCGCGGACGGCGCUGAAGCCAGUCGAAGAUACCAGCUGGCUGCAACUGUUUAUUAAAAACACAGCACUGUGCAAACACGAAAGUGGACGUAUACGGUGUGACGCCUGCCCGGUGCUGGAAGGUUAAUUGAUGGGGUCAGCCGCAAGGCGAAGCUCCUGAUCGAAGCCCCAGUAAACGGCGGCCGUAACUAUAACGGUCCUAAGGUAGCGAAAUUCCUUGUCGGGUAAGUUCCGACCUGCACGAAUGGCGUAAUGAUGGCCAGGCUGUCUCCACCCGAGACUCAGUGAAAUUGAACUCGCUGUGAAGAUGCAGUGUACCCGCGGCAAGACGGAAAGACCCCGUGAACCUUUACUAUAGCUUGACACUGAACAUUGAGCCUUGAUGUGUAGGAUAGGUGGGAGGCUUUGAAGUGUGGACGCCAGUCUGCAUGGAGCCAACCUUGAAAUACCACCCUUUAACGUUUGAUGUUCUAACCUAGGCCCAUAAACUGGGUCGGGGACCGUGUCUGGUGGGUAGUUUGACUGGGGCGGUCUCCUCCUAAAGAGUAACGGAGGAGCACGAAGGUUGGCUAAGCAUGGUCGGACAUCAUGCGGUUAGUGCAAAGGCAUAAGCCAGCUUGACUGCGAGAGUGACGGCUCGAGCAGGUACGAAAGUAGGUCUUAGUGAUCCGGUGGUUCUGAAUGGAAGGGCCAUCGCUCAACGGAUAAAAGGUACUCCGGGGAUAACAGGCUGAUACCGCCCAAGAGUUCAUAUCGACGGCGGUGUUUGGCACCUCGAUGUCGGCUCAUCACAUCCUGGGGCUGAAGUAGGUCCCAAGGGUAUGGCUGUUCGCCAUUUAAAGUGGUACGCGAGCUGGGUUUAGAACGUCGUGAGACAGUUCGGUCCCUAUCUGCCGUGGGCGUUGGAAGAUUGAGAGGGGUUGCUCCUAGUACGAGAGGACCGGAGUGAACGCACCACUGGUGUUCGGGUUGUCAUGCCAAUGGCAUUGCCCGGUAGCUAAGUGCGGAAGAGAUAACCGCUGAAAGCAUCUAAGCGGGAAACUUGCCUCGAGAUGAGUCUUCCCUGUCACUUUAAGUGACCUAAAGGAACGUUUAAGACUAAGACGUUGAUAGGCUGGGUGUGUAAGCGUAGCGAUACGUUGAGCUAACCAGUACUAAUGAACCGUGAGGCUUAACCUG
RNAcentral lists this ribosomal RNA (2903 nucleotides) under Proteus mirabilis. RNAcentral describes it as "23S ribosomal RNA". It matches the Rfam family "Bacterial large subunit ribosomal RNA". Lineage: Bacteria; Pseudomonadati; Pseudomonadota; Gammaproteobacteria; Enterobacterales; Morganellaceae. The record is from RNAcentral.